ACCAGCCUCCCGUCCUCACGGAAGUCAUCUGUAGCUUUGCCCAGGAGGCCACGCACUGUGUAAUCCUUCAAGGACAGGGAGCUCUCCUGUCACCUGGGGACAGUAACAGGGCCAGUCUCACAGUACUGCUGCCUGGAUUCAGCAGGACAUGGUACCUGGCUCCCAGUCAGCAGGCUUCCUACAAGACUGCUGGCUGGUUUCCAUGACAACCAGCACUGGCAGCCUCCAAAGCCCCUGCACAGCACACGAUCAUCAAAAAAAUGCUUGCUUAUGGCUUGGGUGUUCCCCCACGGAAUCCUCUAAGCUUCAGAAUCCUGCUGGUGACCCCCAGGAAAGGACCAAGGGAGAAGCAGGCUGUCCCCAGACC
RNAcentral lists this long non-coding RNA (367 nucleotides) under Homo sapiens (human). RNAcentral describes it as "HSALNT0354985". Lineage: Eukaryota; Metazoa; Chordata; Mammalia; Primates; Hominidae. The record is from RNAcentral.